Theobroma cacao (cacao) is the source of this 686-nucleotide non-coding RNA. Lineage: Eukaryota; Viridiplantae; Streptophyta; Magnoliopsida; Malvales; Malvaceae. The record is from RefSeq and is a predicted model, not a curated record.
UUAAAAUUCUCGAGCGCCUUUCUUUCCCCCAUUUCUCCCAGCUCUCUUUUCCUCUCUCUCAUCUCUUUGUCCUUCCCUCCUUCAUGCCUACAGCCUUGUUGCACUACCCUUCCAUUCGUCUGACCUAACCCUUUCGACCAUUCGCCUGUCUAGCUUAGCCCUUCCGCCCCUCCUCCAAUUGCUCUACCCAAGGUUGCCGAUCGAUUUUGCUCUCCCCACGGAGUUACUACCGUUCAUUUUUGGUGAAGCUUUAGCCGUUGGAUUUCACUGAUUUUGUUGCCCAUUUUGCUCUCGUUAGUGGUAGUUUCAAAGCCCAGUGGGUUCGAGAAGACCUAUUUCAUAAAGGGUUUACCAAUGCGUACACAAUAUGGGAUGCAUAUGAUGAAUCAUUCCAUGCCGGCCAAUCAUUGGCACAUUUUUAUUGGUGAGUUCAACGAAGUUGUUAUUGAAGUCAUAGUAGAAAAUCCAUAUGUUGAAAUGGUUAUGGAUACUUUACUAUUGAAGUUUUAGUUUAACGGUAAGACUUGAGAGGAACCGAUCUUUCUUAAAGAUCCAAAUCCAAGUGCUGCAUUCUUUUUUUUUGUUGUUAAAUGAUGCCGAUGCAACUUUGUGGGUCAAAUGUGAUAAGAACAAAAAACUAUCAACUAUGUUCCAAUUAUUGUAUAUGGAGUUAGAGUUUAAAAUGA